UGGUAGUAAGGGGCCUGCCCCUGUCAGCGGGUCUACAGCCCGCCACCUACUCUCGGCCACAC
Molecule: transfer RNA, 62 nt
Filed under: Nactus galgajuga
Lineage: Eukaryota; Metazoa; Chordata; Lepidosauria; Squamata; Gekkonidae
Description: tRNA-Tyr
Source: RNAcentral